RNAcentral lists this transfer RNA (92 nucleotides) under Macleaya cordata. It matches the Rfam family "tRNA". From Rfam's summary of the family: Transfer RNA (tRNA) molecules are approximately 80 nucleotides in length. Their secondary structure includes four short double-helical elements and three loops (D, anti-codon, and T loops). Lineage: Eukaryota; Viridiplantae; Streptophyta; Magnoliopsida; Ranunculales; Papaveraceae. The record is from Rfam by way of RNAcentral.
CCGACCUUAGCUCAGUUGGUAGAGCGGAGGACUGUAGUGGGAUGUACCUGAUUGUAAUCCUUAGGUCGCUGGUUCGAAUCCGGCAGGUCGGA